RNAcentral lists this ribosomal RNA (866 nucleotides) under uncultured archaeon. RNAcentral describes it as "bacterial SSU rRNA". It matches the Rfam family "Archaeal small subunit ribosomal RNA", at positions 1 to 872 of the family's 1478-position model. The record is from RNAcentral.
UCUCUGGUUGAUCCUGCCGGCGGCCACCGCUAUUGGAAUUCGAUUAAGCCAUGCGAGUCGAGAGGGGUUAAGCCCUCGGCAUACGGCUCAGUAACACGCGAAUAAUCUGCCCUUGGGUGGGGGAUAAUCCCGGGAAACUGGGAAUAAUACCCCAUAGGUCUGGUAUGCUGGAAUGCUUCCAGGCCCAAAGCUCCGGCGCCCAAGGAUGAGUUUGCGGCCUAUCAGGUAGUAGUGGGUGUAACGGACCCACUAGCCUUCGACGGGUACGGGUCUUGAGAGAGAUCGCCCGGAGAUGGACUCUGAGACACGAGUCCAGGCCCUACGGGGCGCAGCAGGCGCGAAAACUUCGCAAUAUGGGAAACCGCGACGAGGGAAUUCCAAGUGCCAUGGCAUUGCUAUGGCUGUUCUCCAGCCUAAAAAGCUGGUGAAGUAAGGGCCGGGUAAGACGGGUGCCAGCCGCCGCGGUAAUACCCGCGGCCCGAGUGGUGGUCAUUGUUAUUGAGCCUAAAGCGUCCGUAGCCGGUUUAGUAAAUCCUUGGGUAAAUCGGGCAGCUCAACUGUCCGAAUUCCGGGGAGACUGCUAGACUUGGGACCGGAGGAGGUCGGAGGUACUCCGGGGGUAGGGGUGAAAUCCUGUAAUCCCCGGGGGACCACCAGUGGCGAAGGCGUCCGACUAAGACGGAUCCGACGGUAAGGGACGAAGCCCUGGGGAGCAAACGGGAUUAGAUACCCCGGUAGUCCAGGGUGUAAACGCUGCUCGCUUGAUGUUAGUCGGGCUCCGAGCCCAACUAGUGUCGGAGAGAAGUUGUUAAGCGAGCUGCCUGGGAAGUACGGUCGCAAGACUGAAACUUAAAGGAAUUGGCGGG